This 2825-nucleotide ribosomal RNA is filed under the name Klebsiella pneumoniae. Its description in RNAcentral is "partial 23S ribosomal RNA". It matches the Rfam family "Bacterial large subunit ribosomal RNA". The record is from RNAcentral. Lineage: Bacteria; Pseudomonadati; Pseudomonadota; Gammaproteobacteria; Enterobacterales; Enterobacteriaceae.
GGGUUGUGAGGUUAAGCGACUAAGCGUACACGGUGGAUGCCCUGGCAGUCAGAGGCGAUGAAGGACGUGCUAAUCUGCGAAAAGCGUCGGUAAGGUGAUAUGAACCGUUACAGCCGGCGAUGUCCGAAUGGGGAAACCCAGUGUGAUUCGUCACACUAUCGUUAACUGAAUACAUAGGUUAACGAGGCGAACCGGGGGAACUGAAACAUCUAAGUACCCCGAGGAAAAGAAAUCAACCGAGAUUCCCCCAGUAGCGGCGAGCGAACGGGGAGCAGCCCAGAGUCUGAAUCAGCUUGUGUGUUAGUGGAACGGUCUGGAAAGUCCGACGGUACAGGGUGAUAGUCCCGUACACCAAAAUGCACAGGCUGUGAACUCGAAGAGUAGGGCGGGACACGUGGUAUCCUGUCUGAAUAUGGGGGGACCAUCCUCCAAGGCUAAAUACUCCUGACUGACCGAUAGUGAACCAGUACCGUGAGGGAAAGGCGAAAAGAACCCCGGCGAGGGGAGUGAAAAAGAACCUGAAACCGUGUACGUACAAGCAGUGGGAGCACCUUCGGGUGUGACUGCGUACCUUUUGUAUAAUGGGUCAGCGACUUAUAUUCUGUAGCAAGGUUAACCGUAUAGGGGAGCCGCAGGGAAACCGAGUCUUAACUGGGCGUUAAGUUGCAGGGUAUAGACCCGAAACCCGGUGAUCUAGCCAUGGGCAGGUUGAAGGUUGGGUAACACUAACUGGAGGACCGAACCGACUAAUGUUGAAAAAUUAGCGGAUGACUUGUGGCUGGGGGUGAAAGGCCAAUCAAACCGGGAGAUAGCUGGUUCUCCCCGAAAGCUAUUUAGGUAGCGCCUCGUGAACUCAUCUUCGGGGGUAGAGCACUGUUUCGGCUAGGGGGUCAUCCCGACUUACCAACCCGAUGCAAACUACGAAUACCGAAGAAUGUUAUCACGGGAGACACACGGCGGGUGCUAACGUCCGUCGUGAAGAGGGAAACAACCCAGACCGCCAGCUAAGGUCCCAAAGUCAUGGUUAAGUGGGAAACGAUGUGGGAAGGCACAGACAGCCAGGAUGUUGGCUUAGAAGCAGCCAUCAUUUAAAGAAAGCGUAAUAGCUCACUGGUCGAGUCGGCCUGCGCGGAAGAUGUAACGGGGCUAAACCAUGCACCGAAGCUGCGGCAGCGACACUAUGUGUUGUUGGGUAGGGGAGCGUUCUGUAAGCCUGCGAAGGUGUGCUGUGAGGCAUGCUGGAGGUAUCAGAAGUGCGAAUGCUGACAUAAGUAACGAUAAAGCGGGUGAAAAGCCCGCUCGCCGGAAGACCAAGGGUUCCUGUCCAACGUUAAUCGGGGCAGGGUGAGUCGACCCCUAAGGCGAGGCCGAAAGGCGUAGUCGAUGGGAAACAGGUUAAUAUUCCUGUACUUGGUGUUACUGCGAAGGGGGGACGGAGAAGGCUAUGUUAGCCGGGCGACGGUUGUCCCGGUUUAAGCAUGUAGGCUGAUUAUCCAGGCAAAUCCGGAUAAUCAAGGCUGAGGUGUGAUGACGAGGCACUACGGUGCUGAAGUAACAAAUGCCCUGCUUCCAGGAAAAGCCUCUAAGCAUCAGGUAACAUCAAAUCGUACCCCAAACCGACACAGGUGGUCAGGUAGAGAAUACCAAGGCGCUUGAGAGAACUCGGGUGAAGGAACUAGGCAAAAUGGUGCCGUAACUUCGGGAGAAGGCACGCUGGUGUGUAGGUGAAGUCCCUGCGGAUGGAGCUGAGACCAGUCGAAGAUACCAGCUGGCUGCAACUGUUUAUUAAAAACACAGCACUGUGCAAACACGAAAGUGGACGUAUACGGUGUGACGCCUGCCCGGUGCCGGAAGGUUAAUUGAUGGGGUUAUCCGUAAGGAGAAGCUCUUGAUCGAAGCCCCGGUAAACGGCGGCCGUAACUAUAACGGUCCUAAGGUAGCGAAAUUCCUUGUCGGGUAAGUUCCGACCUGCACGAAUGGCGUAAUGAUGGCCAGGCUGUCUCCACCCGAGACUCAGUGAAAUUGAACUCGCUGUGAAGAUGCAGUGUACCCGCGGCAAGACGGAAAGACCCCGUGAACCUUUACUAUAGCUUGACACUGAACAUUGAGCCUUGAUGUGUAGGAUAGGUGGGAGGCUUUGAAGCGUGGACGCCAGUCUGCGUGGAGCCAACCUUGAAAUACCACCCUUUAAUGUUUGAUGUUCUAACGUUGGCCCCUGACCGGGGUUGCGGACAGUGUCUGGUGGGUAGUUUGACUGGGGCGGUCUCCUCCCAAAGCGUAACGGAGGAGCACGAAGGUUAGCUAAUCCUGGUCGGACAUCAGGAGGUUAGUGCAAUGGCAUAAGCUAGCUUGACUGCGAGCGUGACGGCGCGAGCAGGUGCGAAAGCAGGUCAUAGUGAUCCGGUGGUUCUGAAUGGAAGGGCCAUCGCUCAACGGAUAAAAGGUACUCCGGGGAUAACAGGCUGAUACCGCCCAAGAGUUCAUAUCGACGGCGGUGUUUGGCACCUCGAUGUCGGCUCAUCACAUCCUGGGGCUGAAGUAGGUCCCAAGGGUAUGGCUGUUCGCCAUUUAAAGUGGUACGCGAGCUGGGUUUAGAACGUCGUGAGACAGUUCGGUCCCUAUCUGCCGUGGGCGCUGGAGAAUUGAGGGGGGCUGCUCCUAGUACGAGAGGACCGGAGUGGACGCAUCACUGGUGUUCGGGUUGUCAUGCCAAUGGCACUGCCCGGUAGCUAAAUGCGGAAGAGAUAAGUGCUGAAAGCAUCUAAGCACGAAACUUGCCCCGAGAUGAGUUCUCCCUGAGACUUUAAGUCUCCUGAAGGAACGUU